GCUGGGUGUGGUGGUGGACACCUGUAAUCCCAGCUACUUGGGAGGCUGAGGCAGGAGAAUUGCUUGUACCUGGGAGGCGGAGGUUGCAGUGAGCAGAGAUUGUGCCACUGCACUCCAGCCUGGGUAACAGAGUGGUACUCUGUCUCAA
Molecule: unclassified non-coding RNA, 148 nt
Organism: Callithrix jacchus (white-tufted-ear marmoset)
Lineage: Eukaryota; Metazoa; Chordata; Mammalia; Primates; Cebidae
Rfam family: Metazoan signal recognition particle RNA
About the family: The signal recognition particle (SRP) is a universally conserved ribonucleoprotein. It is involved in the co-translational targeting of proteins to membranes.
Source: Ensembl